CUUAAUCCCAUAAAUCUGUGGAGGGAGCUAAAGGGUAGAGUUGCCAAACGUCACCCUCGAAACCUCCGGAUCUUCUGAUUUAUGGUAACCCGACUGCUUCGAUGGAACAAUCCCACUACCUUAGAAGUGUCAACAAUUAUUGCUGUUAACACGUAACUGAAUACAAAGUUCCUGCUGUGUCUGGUGCACAAACUGCUGCGCCCUCAUUACUAAAACAGCUCACAGGUCUCAGUAAAAACACUCCUGUAAUCUUCUGUCAACACAACCAAAUUAUACAUAAAAUUCCCCCAAGAAAUACAGAGAAAAGACCAGAUGCAUUGCAGCAUCAAUAAUCAGUUGGGUGGUUGGUACUAGCCUGCCUAUCUGAACACAUACUAACUGAUUUAUAGCUAAUAUUGGUUACCAAAAACCAGACAUUCAAUAUGUGCUUUUAAAACUUAGCUGCUGCACAGAAGCAUCUGUAAGAACUUGGCAAAGAAGAAACCUCUUAAGUAUUUUAGCGAGUGUGAAUAGUUUGUAUGGUGGUAAUGUUUGAUUCAGUUCCAGAGAACUAAACUACCUCACCUUAUAGGGUGAGGCAAGAAAAACAAAUCUUAUGCUUUAAUAGAUUGCAAGCAAAUAGUAUGACAACCGCUUUUCUUUAUCACUUAGAUAUCCACAGAAUACAUUUAAUCAUCAGAUUGUUAUUUGCUGGAUGGAAAAUCAAGUGAAAUUUCUGACCCACACUUGAGAACAAACCUAUAUCAGCACCAAUAUAAACCUUGAAAGAGGAAAACAGACAUUCAACCAGUUUCAUUUUUCCUGUCAGAACACUGCCUCAACAUCCAGAGUUCCUCUGCGCUCAAGCUGUCCAUCUUCUGUCCAUCUUGUGUCCAUCCACACCCCAGCCAACCAGACAUGGGACUAACGAGUGAAGACAUGGAGUGCUGCGUCUGCCUCCAGUCCUACUCACGCAGGGACAAGACCCCUCGAAUGCUUCACUGCAAGCACACCUUCUGUGGGCAGUGUCUCCAGGCGUUAUCCAGGCUCCAGAGUGGCCUGCUGAUGGUGUGCUGCCCACUGUGUCGCUGGAUCACAUGUACCAGGGCCAGUCUCCCCAUCGCUGGAUCCCUGUGGGUAAACACAGACAUCUGGGACAGGAUAACAGAAAGACAAGAGGAGGAGGAGCAGAAGGAGAAGGAGGAGAACUUGUGGAUGACAGAAAACAAACAGACACAGACCUCUACCCAGUGUGUAUGUCCGUCAUCGAGGAAUCGUAGCCUGUGGUCCAAGCUCAGGACUUUCCUGAGGAAACUGAGGUUCCAGAAUUCAAGAACACGUCAUUAAUCUGUUGUGGACUUUUCUUAGGACCUUUUUCAAGAACAAAUGUAAGACAAAAACGUAGGAAGAUGUUGGCGAAUGAGGCCCAAUGAGCUCAAACACAAAAGCAUGGCUAUGGUAUUUUUUAAGGAAGGCUGAACUCGACAUAUUAACCAUUAAUAUUCAAAAUCAUGCCUUUUUGUUGUGUUGUCAUUAAGGGGUUGAGGAAAGUUUCAAACAAAAUAUAAUCUACUCACGUACUGUAUCUUUCCAUCUAUCUUGAAGAAUAUCUAAAACAUUUCCUCUCUUUUCUGAACUAAUGAUUGCACUUAUCUGUUGGAUAGAUGAAUAGAUGACUGAUUGUCGGGAAGGUGUGUCAUUAAGAGUGUUUGAUGGGUGGUGAAGAAAGGACGAAAUGCAAUGAAAGUAAGCGAUAAGAAGGCUACAAUGUGUGUUCAAAUCUAAACAUGGGAGGUUUAAAUAAUGAGAUACGUACUCUUUAAAUCAACCACACACAUCGAAACGCAAGUCUUAGUUGUUGAUGGGAUUGUGUAAGUAAAAAAAAAGGAUUAGCAAAGUUUUAAAGUACCUCUAUCAUCUAUCUACUGUAACCAUCCAUCUAAAAUAAGUCCUCCAUUUUGUGAAAUAAUACUUGCACUUAUAUUUUAGACAGAUGAACAGAUAAAUAGAUGACGGACAGGCAGGCAGGCAGGCAGAGAGGCAGGCAGACAGGCAGGCAGGCAGGCAGAGAGGCAGGCAGACAGGCAGGCAGGCAGACGGGCAGGCGUUUGACGAGUGGAUGAAUGAUACAGUUAGGGUGAAUUUGGGUAAUCUGGGAAACUUUUUGCAAUUUUGACUUCUGCGAUUUAUUCCGAUAUCUGUCUAACACGUUAGAUCAACACAUUAUACCUCUCUGAAAUCCCUAAGAGGUUUUCUGACCACACCAGAGGAAAUAAUGUAGAUAUUAUAGC
This is a long non-coding RNA of Esox lucius (northern pike), 2270 nucleotides long. Lineage: Eukaryota; Metazoa; Chordata; Actinopteri; Esociformes; Esocidae. The record is from Ensembl.